CCUACGGGUGGCAGCAGUGGGGAAUAUUGCGCAAUGGGCGAAAGCCUGACGCAGCGACGCCGCGUGAGGGAUGAAGGUCUUCGGAUCGUAAACCUCUGUCAUCAGGGAAGAACGGUCACAGUGCUAAGCAGCAGUGAAUUGACGGUACCUGCAAAGGAAGCACUGGCUAACUCCGUGCCAGCAGCCGCGGUAAUACGGAGGGUGCGAGCGUUAAUCGGAAUUACUGGGCGUAAAGCGCUCGUAGGCGGUAUGUCAAGUCAAGGGUGAAAUCCCCGCGCUCAACGUGGGAACGGCCUUUGAAACUGGCAAACUGGAGUGUGUUAGAGGUUAGUGGACUUC
RNAcentral lists this ribosomal RNA (339 nucleotides) under uncultured bacterium. Its description in RNAcentral is "partial 16S ribosomal RNA". It matches the Rfam family "Bacterial small subunit ribosomal RNA", at positions 338 to 669 of the family's 1533-position model. The record is from RNAcentral.